RNAcentral lists this long non-coding RNA (1487 nucleotides) under Malus domestica (apple). Its description in RNAcentral is "long non-coding RNA (MDOM_LNC000319)". The record is from RNAcentral. Lineage: Eukaryota; Viridiplantae; Streptophyta; Magnoliopsida; Rosales; Rosaceae.
AACCUGGAUGCUUGAGAGCUUCGGAGUUUCAGAGCUUCAGAGCUUCAAGGUGUAAUAUGAAUUGGUUCCUUCAAAUGAAUGAAUUAGCCUUCUAUUUAUAGAAAUUUCCAAGGCCUAAUUUUGAAUAUAAUAUCCCAGAUGAAAUAAGUCGUUUCUGCCAGGUGUUAACAUGUGUCCUGUUUGAUGACUUUUCCAACUAUUUCGAUUUUUUGUUUAGACACACGCUACGUGUAAAAUUUAUGUAAUACAUGAGCGUUGAAACUUUGAUUUAUCGGUCAACAUUUAUUUACUGAAAUUUCGAUGUCUACAAAUGCCCCCACUUCAAGGCGCGUCGUAUACAUGUGCUUGUCGCGUGUAGGAGAUGUGUUUUGAAGUCACUUAAUGUAGAUGUCGAUCCAAGGGCCAUCGAGGCUUGAUCUUGAAUUGGGCUGGAGCUUUCUUCAAGGGUCGUUGAGGCUUGUUCUUGAACUUUUGUUUGAAAUUUCUUCAAGGGCCGUUGAGGCUUGUUCUUGAACUUUUGUUUGAAAUUUCUUCAAGAGCCGUCGAGGCUUGAUCUUGAAGGUUGAAAUUGGACCACAAGGAACUUCAUGUGGUAGAUGAUCUUUGGCUUUGGUAGUGGAUGAAUCGGCACGUAUUUUGUUGCACUUGUUGACUUUCCACAACUUUGAUCUUGAACUGGAUUGGAGGACUUUCUAGAUUCCUCCAAUUGUUGACUUUCCACAGCUUAUUCUUGAACUGGGUUGGAGGAUUUUCUGGUUUCCUCCAAUUGUUGACUUUCCACAGCUUAUUCUUGAACUGGAUUUGAUUCAAGGGUGGUAGACACUUGAUCUUGAAUCGGAUUUGUGAUUUCUUCAAGGGUCGUUAAGGCUUGAUCUUGAACUUUGGCUGGAAGCUUCUUCAAGGACCUUUGAGGCUUGAUCUCGAAGGUUGAUUCGAACACAUGGCAAGCAGGCACGAGGUAAAGGUGACAGCCUGUUUCUUUGUUCAAUCUUUCUAAUUCACACCUGAGCAGUUUGGUCAACGGUAUGAUCUUCAAGAUUGAUGGGCUCUUCUUCCAGUUGGUGACUUGAUCUUUAAGGAUUCGAUUCAAGGGUGGUGAAUCGGCACGUGCAGCCCACAACGCCUAGUAAGUCGACCCAAGAAUUUAAGGGUCAAAACCAGUUUACCGUCCAGAGUGAUUGCAACCCUGAUGAUAUGAGAUACUUUUGAUUUUGAAGAAGUAGCGGAUGACUCAGUACGUGCUUUGUUGCACUUGUCUCCACAUGCUUCAAGGUAUCAUUUUCAUUUCCUUUAACUGUUCCUCAGGCAGAUGCGGCAUCUUCUCGAGUUCUUCAUCUCAGACUCCUUCUGCUGAGUUGACUGUGCAUGCUGCAUUCUUUUCUGCUUGUUUCUUCAGGCAGAUGUGGCAGCUUCUCGAGUUCCUCAGUUCGGACUCCUUCUGCUGAGUUAACUGUGCAGACCGCAUUCUUCUCUACUUGUUUCUUCUG